GUGCAGCAGUCGAGAAACCUCCGCAAUGCGGGCAACCGCGACGGGGGACCCCAGUGCCGUGGCAUCGCCACGGCUUUUCCGGAGUGUAAAAGCUCCGGGAAUAAGGGCUGGGCAAGGCCGGUGGCAGCCGCCGCGGUAAUACCGGCGGCCCGAGUGGUGGCCGCUAUUAUUGGGCCUAAAGCGUCCGUAGCCGGGCCUGUAAGUCCCUGGCGAAAUCCCACGGCUCAACCGUGGGGCUUGCUGGGGAUGCUGCAGGCCUUGGGACCGGGAGAGGCCGGGGGUACCCCUGGGGUAGGGGUGAAAUCCUAUAAUCCCAGGGGACCGCCAGUGGCGAAGGCGCCCGGCUGGAACGGGUCCGACGGUGAGGGACGAAGGCCAGGGGAGCGAACCGGAUUAGAUACCCCUGUAGU
Molecule: ribosomal RNA, 410 nt
Filed under: uncultured microorganism
Description: bacterial SSU rRNA
Rfam family: Archaeal small subunit ribosomal RNA
Source: RNAcentral